This 699-nucleotide ribosomal RNA is filed under the name uncultured bacterium. RNAcentral's name for it is "bacterial SSU rRNA". It matches the Rfam family "Bacterial small subunit ribosomal RNA", at positions 8 to 700 of the family's 1533-position model. The record is from RNAcentral.
AGAGUUUGAUCCUGGCUCAGGAUGAACGCUAGCGGUAGGCCUAACACAUGCAAGUCGAACGGUAACAGGAAGAGCUUGCUCUUCGCUGACGAGUGGCGCACGGGUGCGUAACACGUAUGUAACUUGCCCUCUACUGGGGGAUAGCCCCGAGAAAUCGGGAUUAAUACCCCAUAAUAUCAUCAAUUCGCAUGUUUUGAUGAUUAAAACUCCGGUGGUAGAGGAUAGGCAUGCGGCCCAUUAGUUUGUUGGUGAGGUAACGGCUCACCAAGACUACGAUGGGUAGGGGGUCUGAGAGGAUGAUCCCCCACACUGGUACUGAGACGCGGACCAGACUCCUACGGGAGGCAGCAGUGAGGAAUAUUGGGCAAUGGACGAAAGUCUGACCCAGCCAUACCGCGUGCAGGAAGACGGCCCUAUGGGUUGUAAACUGCUUUUAUUUGCCAAGAAACCCCCCUACGUGUAGGGGGCUGACGGUAGCAUUUGAAUAAGCACCGGCUAACUCCGUGCCAGCAGCCGCGGUAAUACGGAGGGUGCAAGCGUUAUCCGGAUUUAUUGGGUUUAAAGGGUUCGUAGGCGGAAAAAUAAGUCAGUGGUGAAAGCCUGUAGCUCAACUAUAGAAUUGCCAUUGAUACUGUUUUUCUUGAAUAUACUUGAAGUGGGCGGAAUGUGUCAUGUAGCGGUGAAAUGCUUAGAUAUGAC